UUUCGCACUCUUACUUUAGUUUAAGUGAAUGGAUCUCCAUGAAAUUUUACCAUAAGGUUCAAUACCACGAAAGGAGGUUGGGAUUGAUUUUGGGGGUUAUGGUACCAACAGUUAAGGAAUUAGGGGCCAAAAAGGGGCCAAAAAUAAGCAUUUUUGUAACUUCCAGACAAUAACUUGUGUGUAAGUGUAUGGAUCUCUCUGACAUUGUACCACAAGGUUCCAUAUCACAAAGGGAAGGCUGUAAUUGAUUUUGGGGGUAAUUGCCUCAAAAUUUUAGGAAUUAGGGGCCAAAAAAGGGGCAAAAAACAAGCAUUUUUCUAGUUUCAUGACAAUAACUUGUGUGUAAGUGUUUGGAUAUUUCUGAAAUUGUACUACAAGGUUCCAUAUCACAAAGGGCAAGCUGGGUUUGAGUUUGUGGGUAAUUGCCCGAAACGUUUAGGAAUAGGGGGCCAAAAAGGGGCCAAAAAUAAGCAUUUUUCUAGUUUCCAGACAAUAACUUGUGUUCAAGUGUAUGGAUCUCUCUGAAAUUGUACUGCAAGGUACCAUACCACAAAGGGAAGGCUGGGAUUGAGUUUGGGGGUGAUGAAUCAUAAGGGGGUUCAAAAAAUUUGGGGGGGGGAUUUUUUUCUUUUCUUUUUUUUUCUUUUUUUCCUUUUUUUUUUCUUUUAAAAUUUUCCAUUUUAAGUUGGUUAUUUCUGAUUAAUAUUUAAAAGCAAAUAAUAAUGAUAUGGUAGGAGAUACACACCAAACAGGAUGUGUAAAUUAUUAUAUAAUAAGUAUUGUGCAAUAGCAAGAAAUUUUCAAUUGCACAGUAUUGCACAAUUGCAAGAAAUCUUCAAUUGCACAGUAUUGCGCAAUAGCAAGAAAUCUUCAAUUGCACAGUAUUGCGCAAUAGCAAGAAAUAUCCAAUAGCACAAUAUUGCGCAAUAGCAAGAAAUUGUCAAUUGUACAGUAUUGCACAAUAGCAAGAAAUAUUCAAUUGCACAGUAUUGUGCAAAAGAAGAUACUUCGUAUAAAUUGUUUAUUUCUUGAUCAAUUUCAAUGGGGUUUUAUUCUUGAAUUCUUGGGGUUCUUUAAUAUGCUGAAUCUAACCAAGUAUUAAGUUUUUGGAUUUUGGGCCCCGUUUUUAAAUUGGUCCACAUUGAGGUCCAAAGGGUCCAAAAUUUAACUUUGUUUGAUUUCAUCAAAAAUUGAAUUAUUGGGGUUCUUUGAUAUGCCGAAUCUAACCGUGUAUUUAGAUUCUUAAUUUUUGGUUCCGUUUUCAAAUUGGUCUACAUUAAGGUCAAAAGGGUCCAAAAUUAAACUUUGUUUGAUUUUAACAAAAAUUGAAUUUUUAGGGUUCUUUGAUAUGCUGAAUCUAAACAUGUAUUUAGAUUUUUGAUUAUGGGCCCCGUUUUCAAGUUGGUCCAAAUCGGGGUCCAAAAUUAAACUUUGUUUGAUUUCAACAAAAAUUGAAUAUAUCGGGUUCUUUGAUAUGCUGAAUCUAACCAUGUAUUUAGAUUUUUGAUUUUUGGGCCCCGUUAUCAACUUUGUCCACAUUGAGGUCAAAAGGGUCCAAAAUUAAACUUUGUUUGAUUUCAUCAAAAAUUGAAUUCUUGGGGUUCUUUGAUAUGCUGAAUCUUACCAUGUAUUUAGAUUUUUUAUUUGUGGACCCGCUAUCAAAUUAGUUCAUAUUGAGGUGAAAAGGGUCCAAAAUUAAACUUUGUUUGAUUUCAUCAAAAAUUGAAUUAUUGGGGUUCUUUGAUAUGCCAAAUCUAACCGUGUAUUUAGAUUUUUAAUUUUGGGUCCCGUUUUUAAAUUGGUCUACAUUAAGGUCCAAAGGGUCCAAAAUUAAACUUAGUUUGAUUUUAACAAAAAUUGAAUUCUUGGGGUUCUUUGAUAUGCUGAAUCUAAACAUGUAUUUAGAUUUUUGAUUAUGGGCCCAGUUUUCAAGUUGGUCCAAGUUGGGGUCCAAAAUUAAACUUUGUUUGAUUUCAACAAAAAUUGAAUAUAUGGGGUUCUUUGAUAUGCUGAAUCUAAACAUGUAUUUAGAUUUUAGAUUUGUGGCCCAGUUUUCAAGUUGGUCCAAAUUGGGGUCCAAAAUUAAACUUUGUUUGAUUUCAACAAAAAUUGAAUAUAUGGGGUUCUUUGAUAUGCUGAAUCUUACCAUGUAUUUAGAUUUUUUUAUUUGUGGACCCGCUAUCAAAUUGGUUCAUAUUGAGGUCAAAAGGGUCCAAAAUUAAACUUUGUUUGAUUUCAUCAAAAAUUGAAUUAUUGGGGUUCUUUGAUAUGCCAAAUCUAACCGUGUAUUUAGAUUUUUAAUUUUGGGUCCCGUUUUUAAAUUGGUCUACAUUAAGGUCCAAAGGGUCCAAAAUUAAACUUAGUUUGAUUUUAACAAAAAUUGAAUUCUUGGGGUACUUUGAUAUGCUGAAUCUAAACAUGUGUUUAGAUUUUGAUUAUGGGACCAGUUUUCAAGUUGGUCCAAGUUGGGGUCCAAAAUUAAACUUUGUUUGAUUUCAACAAAAAUUGAAUAUAUGGGGUUCUUUGAUAUGCUGAAUCUAAACAUGUAUUUAGAUUUUAGAUUUUUGGCCCAGUUUUCAAGUUGUUCCAAAUUGGGGUCCAAAAUUAAACUUUGUUUGAUUUCAACAAAAAUUGAAUAUAUGGGGUUCUUUGAUAUGCUGAAUCUUACCAUGUAUUUAGAUUUUUUUAUUUGUGGGCCCGCUAUCAAAUUGGUUCAUAUUGAGGUGAAAAGGGUCCAAAAUUAAACUUUGUUUGAUUUCAUCAAAAAUUGAAUUAUUGGGGUUCUUUGAUAUGCCAAAUCUAACCGUGUAUUUAGAUUUUUAAUUUUGGGUCCCGUUUUUAAAUUGGUCUACAUUAAGGUCCAAAGGGUCCAAAAUUAAACUUAGUUUGAUUUUAACAAAAAUUGAAUUCUUGGGGUUCUUUGAUAUGCUGAAUCUAAACAUGUGUUUAGAUUUUUGAUUAUGGGCCCAGUUUUCAAGUUGGUCCAAGUUGGGGUCCAAAAUUAAACUUUGUUUGAUUUCAACAAAAAUUGAAUAUAUGGGGUUCUUUGAUAUGCUGAAUCUAAACAUGUAUUUAGAUUUUAGAUUUGUGGCCCAGUUUUCAAGUUGGUCCAAAUUGGGGUCCAAAAUUAAACUUUGUUUGAUUUCAACAAAAAUUGAAUAUAUGGGGUUCUUUGAUAUGCUGAAUCUUACCAUGUAUUUAGAUUUUUUUAUUUGUGGACCCGCUAUCAAAUUGGUUCAUAUUGAGGUCAAAAGGGUCCAAAAUUAAACUUUGUUUGAUUUCAUCAAAAAUUGAAUUAUUGGGGUUCUUUGAUAUGCCAAAUCUAACCGUGUAUUUAGAUUUUUAAUUUUGGGUCCCGUUUUUAAAUUGGUCUACAUUAAGGUCCAAAGGGUCCAAAAUUAAACUUAGUUUGAUUUUAACAAAAAUUGAAUUCUUGGGGUACUUUGAUAUGCUGAAUCUAAACAUGUGUUUAGAUUUUGAUUAUGGGACCAGUUUUCAAGUUGGUCCAAGUUGGGGUCCAAAAUUAAACUUUGUUUGAUUUCAACAAAAAUUGAAUAUAUGGGGUUCUUUGAUAUGCUGAAUCUAAACAUGUAUUUAGAUUUUAGAUUUUUGGCCCAGUUUUCAAGUUGGUCCAAAUUGGGGUCCAAAAUUAAACUUUGUUUGAUUUCAACAAAAAUUGAAUAUAUGGGGUUCUUUGAUAUGCUGAAUCUUACCAUGUAUUUAGAUUUUUUUAUUUGUGGGCCCGCUAUCAAAUUGGUUCAUAUUGAGGUGAAAAGGGUCCAAAAUUAAACUUUGUUUGAUUUCAUCAAAAAUUGAAUUAUUGGGGUUCUUUGAUAUGCCAAAUCUAACCGUGUAUUUAGAUUUUUAAUUUUGGGUCCCGUUUUUAAAUUGGUCUACAUUAAGGUCCAAAGGGUCCAAAAUUAAACUUAGUUUGAUUUUAACAAAAAUUGAAUUCUUGGGGUUCUUUGAUAUGCUGAAUCUAAACAUGUGUUUAGAUUUUUGAUUAUGGGCCCAGUUUUCAAGUUGGUCCAAGUUGGGGUCCAAAAUUAAACUUUGUUUGAUUUCAACAAAAAUUGAAUAUAUGGGGUUCUUUGAUAUGCUGAAUCUAAACAUGUAUUUAGAUUUUAGAUUUGUGGCCCAGUUUUCAAGUUGGUCCAAAUUGGGGUCCAAAAUUAAACUUUGUUUGAUUUCAACAAAAAUUGAAUAUAUGGGGUUCUUUGAUAUGCUGAAUCUUACCAUGUAUUUAGAUUUUUUUAUUUGUGGACCCGCUAUCAAAUUGGUUCAUAUUGAGGUCAAAAGGGUCCAAAAUUAAACUUUGUUUGAUUUCAUCAAAAAUUGAAUUAUUGGGGUUCUUUGAUAUGCCAAAUCUAACCGUGUAUUUAGAUUUUUAAUUUUGGGUCCCGUUUUUAAAUUGGUCUACAUUAAGGUCCAAAGGGUCCAAAAUUAAACUUAGUUUGAUUUUAACAAAAAUUGAAUUCUUGGGGUACUUUGAUAUGCUGAAUCUAAACAUGUGUUUAGAUUUUGAUUAUGGGACCAGUUUUCAAGUUGGUCCAAGUUGGGGUCCAAAAUUAAACUUUGUUUGAUUUCAACAAAAAUUGAAUAUAUGGGGUUCUUUGAUAUGCUGAAUCUAAACAUGUAUUUAGAUUUUAGAUUUUUGGCCCAGUUUUCAAGUUGGUCCAAAUUGGGGUCCAAAAUUAAACUUUGUUUGAUUUCAACAAAAAUUGAAUAUAUGGGGUUCUUUGAUAUGCUGAAUCUUACCAUGUAUUUAGAUUUUUUUAUUUGUGGGCCCGCUAUCAAAUUGGUUCAUAUUGAGGUCAAAAGGGUCCAAAAUUAAACUUUGUUCG
Mytilus californianus (California mussel) is the source of this 4844-nucleotide long non-coding RNA. RefSeq lists it as uncharacterized. The record is from RefSeq and is a predicted model, not a curated record. The transcript is spliced from 3 exons. NCBI's taxonomy places the organism in Eukaryota, Metazoa, Mollusca, Bivalvia, Mytilida, Mytilidae.